AGUGAACGCUGGCGGUAGGCCUAACACAUGCAAGUCGAACGGCAGCACAGUAAGAGCUUGCUCUUACGGGUGGCGAGUGGCGGACGGGUGAGGAAUACAUCGGAAUCUACUUUUUCGUGGGGGAUAACGUAGGGAAACUUACGCUAAUACCGCAUACGACCUACGGGUGAAAGCAGGGGAACUUCGGAACUUGUGCGAUUGAAUGAGCCGAUGUCGGUUUAGCUAGUUGGCGGGGUAAAGGCCCACCAAGGCGACGAUCCGUAGCUGGUCUGAGAGGAUGAUCAGCCACACUGGAACUGAGACGCGGUCCAGACUCCUACGGGAGGCAGCAGUGGGGAAUAUUGGACAAAGGGCGCAAGCCUGAUCCAGCCAUACCGCGUGGGUGAAGAAGGCCUUCGGGUUGUAAAGCCCUUUUGUUGGGAAAGAAAAGCAGCAGGUUAAUACCCCGCUGUUCUGACGGUACCCAAAGAAUAAGCACCGGCUAACUUCGUG
RNAcentral lists this ribosomal RNA (492 nucleotides) under uncultured bacterium. RNAcentral's name for it is "partial 16S ribosomal RNA". It matches the Rfam family "Bacterial small subunit ribosomal RNA", at positions 29 to 507 of the family's 1533-position model. The record is from RNAcentral.